RNAcentral lists this ribosomal RNA (253 nucleotides) under uncultured bacterium. Its description in RNAcentral is "partial 16S ribosomal RNA". It matches the Rfam family "Bacterial small subunit ribosomal RNA", at positions 524 to 776 of the family's 1533-position model. The record is from RNAcentral.
UACGUAGGGUGCAAGCGUUAAUCGGAAUUACUGGGCGUAAAGCGUGCGCAGGCGGUUGUGCAAGACAGAUGUGAAAUCCCCGGGCUUAACCUGGGAACUGCAUUUGUGACUGCACGACUAGAAUCUGGCAGAGGGGGGUAGAAUUCCAUGUGUAGCAGUGAAAUGCGUAGAUAUGUGGAGGAAUACCGAUGGCGAAGGCAGCCCCCUGGGCUAAGAUUGACGCCCAUGCACGAAAGCGUGGGGAGCAAACAGG